UUUUUUACCCAAAAAUAAAGCCACAUAUCCAGCCUAUAUAUCCUGCAAUAUAGGAUUCCUGCUAAACCUUUAUUUGUAGGUUAAAACACUAAUACAGUGGUGGAGUAAUAAUAGACUAGAGUAAAUAUGGUAUUCUUGGUCACUGUUGAAUAUAACAUUUUAGGAACUUCCAUAAAAUUAAAUAUUUAUGAAACUGCCAAAAUUUGUUUUUGCACAUGCAGGUAUUCUUCUUGGAAAGACAGACAUCACAAAUAUUUGCCGUUUCACAGUAUCACCUGAUUUUUUUAUCAAAACUUCAUAAAAUGGUGAAAAAUGUUAUUUUAUCUAGCAUUUAUACAUGUCAUCUUUAAAUAUAUAGGGCACAGAACAAUAUCACAUUAAUGUGCUAAGAUUAUUUUUGAGUUCUUCAUAUAUGUUUUUUUAGUAUUUUUCUUUCUUUUUUAGGUCAGCCAUAAUCUAACACAGCCAUCACAUCAAUCACUAAAACUAAUGUAUAUUUAUAUAAUUUAUUUAGUCUAAUUUUGCUUAAUAAUAUUUACUUCACAUUAUUUUUCUGGGAAACUAGACGUCUAUGGUUUACUUCGUCAAUUUUACAGAAUUUGUAUCACGAAAUUUUUAGAACUUUUUAGGUAGAUCCCAGUUUUUAUACCUUUUUAGAACUAUGUGUAAAUCUGUAUAUUUUUGUUAUUUAUUCAGAUGUAACUAAAUUGAAGUAUAUAUAAUUUGCGCUAUUUGUCGCCCAUAUUUAAUACUUUUCAGACCAGGCUUCUGUAACCCCUUUUUUAUAUAAGAACAAUGUUAUAAGAAUAUAAACCUAAGACUCAAAACCCCAGACUCAAAUCAUUGUUUUUACGACUAAAACUACUCAAGAAAUGGAAUAGUCAAAAAGCCUCAAAAGCGGUUAAGUCACAUAGUUUUGCGCAAUUAUUCAAUCAUUUAUCCUGUUUUUAAAUUGGAAAUCUCAGCCUUGGGUCGACCAUUGAACGUUUUGCUCUGUGGAAAGUUUUCAGUUUACGACACCUAAUUUAUUUCUUUUUUUCUCAUAGAAUCCCAGUUUUCAAUUAUCAAUCUUAAUGGCUUGUAGACAGGUUAGGCUUAGAUCAGUAAUGAAAUGCUCUACAUGCUGUAAUUAUAUAUAUGACUGAUUUUAAUUUUUUCUGAUACGACUACCCGGUUUUAUAAAAUUGUAAAAUGUGAAUACCGUUUGAUUGGCGGAAGUGUUAUUGUACAACGUAUUUUAUCAAUAUCGAUAAAAGGAAAAUAUUUUUUUGAUUUAUUGAAAAAAAAAUAGAUUUUUAGGAAGUUAUCAGAACCGUGAAAAUCUUAAUUCGAAAAUAAUCCCAACAACACAAAUCACUCUCAAAUUCAUGUUAUUGCUAUUACUAGUAUUUUUAUUCUGAUUGAUAUAUCGCCUGUAAGAUCGCAAAUUAGGGGAUAUUUUAUUGAGAAAGAUUUUUACUGCUUUCCUUUAUGCGGCCUAUAGCCUUCUCUUGAGACACUGAUUAUUGAGAAACAUUUUACAUAAUUUUAAACUACUGCUGUUUUUGGUAAAACCAGAGUGAAAUCUCCACGGUAUAUACGUUUUUUAAUCAGAACCCAGUUUAUAGGAAUGUUGAAUCUGACAUUUUGCCAAGAAUUUUUUUUAAAGAUUAUAAGAACAAAAUCAAGCGAAUCUACAUUUACUGCUAAGAAACAAUUUUCUUUUUACAGUAGGUGCCGCUUAACUCGAAUAUGGGCUAUUUAAACUUUUUUUGAUUUCCUAAGGGUUUUGCUUAUCAAACUCUUUAUAAUUACGCCGGAUAACUCGAAUACAGUUUAACUCAAUCUAUAUUCUUUGUCUCUUAAUAACUCGAUAACUACAAAAAAUAAUGUAAAAAUAAAGCAAAAAGCACAAUUUACUGCUUUUAAAACAACUAAAAAACACAUUGUUCGUUCUUCUUUAAGAUUGUCUUGUGCACUCUAUCUCCAAAGAAAUAAAAUUUAAUAAGAUUAAACUUUUUGGGCAUAGUGUUAAUAUGAGUAUUUUAAUAUUGUAGGGUCGCAGAAAGAGAGCCAAAAUCGAUCAUAAUGAAGUGGCAGUGGCUCAUGUAACGAAAGGUGUAGAUCAGGACGGGCUGAGAAAAUAUUACAUAAAUAAAGAAAUAGGUAUGCUGAGUAUUACAAAAAACCACACAUUCUUAAAUGCCAAAAACAAUUAUCUUAUGUGCACAAAUUAUUUGAGGAAUAAAUUUUUGCGAACCAUAUUUUUGCGGAUGAGUAGUCCCCAAAUACUUCAUUUUGCGGAGUAUAUUUUUGCGGAAUUAAUUUUUGCGGAAUUAAUUUUUGUGAAGUACGAAGAAAUUAAAAGAAAAAUGGUGUAGAAGUUUUUGCGGAUGGAAGUUUACCAACGAAAGAAAAUUAGUCACUACGCAUUUCUUGUAUUAAUAAUAUAACCUUUAUUUUUGGGAGAUAGAAUUUUCAAGGAAUUAGUAGAAGAGGUAUUUUAAAGUUAGCAGAAGCAAAAUACAAUGGAAUACAAUAUCUCGGCGGACGAAAAAUUCAGGGAAGAAAAAUUAUCCAGCAAUUUUAAGAAAUUUUGCAAAAUAAUCUCCCCAUUAAUUUUCCCCUUUUUAGAACACGUGACCUCUUUGUCCUUAAUUGCAAAGUGAAAUAAACCUAAAUGGGGCAACAGCAAAAGUACAAUAAAAUUUCAUAGUUUGGGUGGUUUUUAAAGUUUUCGGGGCAUUUAAUUUCGUGGAUGAUCAACACGUGUUUUCGCUGUGCUUAAUUUGACAAGUUCAAUAAAAAUUACGUAAUUUGAAAAAUAUAAUUCUAAGUCAAUUCAAAUGCUUAAUAACAUAUCCUUUACCUCAUGAACACUGCAGUUUGCGCACAGUUGUAACUGUUUAUACAAAUUUUGUCCUUAAUAGAAUGAUUAUGAGAUACUAUUGAAACGACGCCCUUUAUAAGUACAAAUUAAUCCGUAACUCCUUUAGAGUGCAAUUUAUGAAAUUGAGCUGCUUAUGAAGCGUUAAAGCAGUAAAGAGUUAAUAUGUUUUCAAUCGUGAAAAUUUACUUUUUUAUUGUUAAGACAUAUUGUCUAUGGUUACUUGAUUUAUUUUUUUAGCUAUUGUGCUGCUUGCAAAUCAUAGACGAUCACUAGACGAUUUUUAUGACGAUCGUCAUAAAUACUGGAAUUUGAUUGGUUUGGUCGCGAUUGUCGUCAUGACAAAAAGUUGAAUUGGUUUCUACUUUUUGUCGCAAAAAUCGUCGCAAAUAUCACCCAGUGGAGACAUAUCUUUUGAAUCAUUCUAUUAGCAGUUCAGUGUUUAAUCAUUACCUCUUAAUUGCCGGAAAAUGCCUUAAAUUUAGAUAAAAUUGGUGUGUUUUAAAGAGAUUAUGAAAUAAUAUAGUUAUUUUUUAUGUUCCUUUUUAAAAAAACGUGUUUUAAAAAAAUGCCCCUGCGACACUGGAUUUAACGUGGCACAGAGGACAUUUAUUACCCUGUUUUCUUUUAUUUCGUUCGCUUUUAUAAACUACUAACUAAAAAUUAAUCGCGAAUUGCACUCUGUUUAGUAAAUGUAGUUUUGCUUUACUACCAGGCAGCAAGUUCGCAAUGUACAAAGUAGCUAAUUAAGUUAAAAUAAUUUUUUAGGUUUUGGGGUUUUCGCAGAAAAGAAUUUUACGAAGGGGGAGUUCUUAUUGGAGUAUCCUGGGGAACUUAUUAGCGCCGAGGAAGAAGAAAAAAAGCAGCAACGCUAUAACGCUAAAUUUGGUUCAUUCUUGUUUUUUUUCAACAAAUGUUGAAUAAAAACACCAAGAUGCCUAUUACGAUUGCACCAAAAGUCUCUACGGUAAGUUAAAAUGCUUUAGUCUUGUCCUGUAUGUUUUUUACCCUGUAAAAAAAGUCAUGACAAUACGCCCAUGGUACAUGUAGUAAGUAAGUGCGUUAUUUAGCGCGACCCUGGCCACACAAUGUAAUAUAUACUUCCUCCAAUGAAUAAAGUUUUCUAAAAGUGUUUCUUUCACAAUUAUCAUUAAUGUCCGAAACUAUAAAAAUUUUACUUUCUUUUUACUUCAAAGAAGUGCUUCUUGUGUACACUUACAUCUGCAACAGUCAAGGGAAGAUAUUUUUUUAAACAAACAAAACAAGUUUAUAAAGAAAAUUAAAAUAUUGCGUACUUCUUUUUCUAAUUUUUCUAUUGUUGUACGUUCUCUAUUGUUGUUUGUUGUGUAAUAAAAGGGUUGGUGUGAUGAUUUUCACAGUAGUAAAAUAUUGUGUGAGGUCUGGGAAGUGUAGAAACAAAAACAUGGCUGUCAAAUGACAAGACUAUAAAUGUGCCAUUAUUAGACUCCAUCGCAUAUGCUUGUUUUGACGUUCAAAGUACCUGAAACGCAAAAUGUCUUAAAGCAAACAAAAAUUUAAAACAGGCUGUAUAGUUUUAUAGUUUCAUACUCCUACCGGUCUGACAGAAACUUGUUCCCUUUCUUGGCCAAAGUUUCACAGUUUUCGCAGCCAAUUUACAAACAUCUUGAAAGGUGUUAUGUCUACAUCGGCAACUUUUAAAACUAUAUUGUACAAUAUUAUUAUUAUUAUCAUUGUCACACACUAUAAUGAGAUUGAUUACUUUAUAAGUAAAAAAUAGGGAGGGUUGAGUCGGGAGCGUGGUCCAGAGAAACGAAGGGAAAAUAAAAAACAAGUCUUUUACGAAAAGUCCUUUUAUGUAAAGGACUUUUCGUAGGACUUUUAUGGCAGAAAUUCUUUUUGGGCUGACUUCUUAUAAUUCGAAUUUAAUUUAUUUGGAACAUUCCGUUAUCGAAUUCACGAAGUUGUAAAAUCUACUUUACUGAGCGCUUAAAAAUUUGAUUUAAAUUUUAAAGAGGGCGUUUAAAGGCAGAUUUUCUUUGCGCCUCGGUUCGACUUUGAGUAUGCACCGUCUUGUUAAUGUAACCCUCUUGAUUUCAAUAGCUGUGUGUUGGCCCUGAAUUCAAAUGAAUAAAGAGUCUAAUGUAUAGUGGUUGAGCCAAGAACUUCUAACCUGUAUAAACGUUUAUUUUGUAGAAGAUAAAUUAUGAGGUUCGUCACUUUUAAUGAAAACUGUACUUGCACCCGUUUUAUCAUUUUCAAUGUCGUUAAAGUAGCUCAUUGGAAAAUCAGCACCAAAAGACUUUCUAGGUUGGUUCUUAUAAUCAUGAUUUAUGCUCAUCGUUUUAGCAGGUUAUUUAUAUAUAUAUGUUUGCUUUGUGAACUUAAAAAUUUCUCUAUCAAGUUUUUAGAAAUUCAAGUAUCACAUUCUCCCAGUGACUAAAAAGCUUCAGGAAAUGUCUAAUAAUUUUAGGCUUUGUUUUCUGAUAUAAAUUUUAUAGUGUUGACCGGUAGUUAUUUUGAAAGUUUAGAUAGUUUAAGUUUAUUAAACGCACAGAACAUUUGCAUCUCACUAGUUAUAUUAAAAGGACGUUUGUUCCCAAAAAGUUAAAUUAAAUAGUUGUUCGAGAGGGAACUAAAACGGGUGUUUUACUAAAUAUAUUAUUACCAGAUCAAACUGUACUGUAUUAAGUUAUUUUUUAUUUUUAAAAACAUAGUUGUAAAUGAAAAAAUUCUUUUAAGAUUAAAUACCAAAUGAAAACUGUAAA
Hydractinia symbiolongicarpus is the source of this 5613-nucleotide long non-coding RNA. RefSeq lists it as uncharacterized. The record is from RefSeq and is a predicted model, not a curated record. The transcript has 2 exons. Lineage: Eukaryota; Metazoa; Cnidaria; Hydrozoa; Anthoathecata; Hydractiniidae.